UUUUAAGAUGAAGAGAAGCAGCUUGUUCACACUCGUCUCAAACCAUGAUCUCUUCAUCUCUCUGGUUGUUGCUGUUGCUGGCAGCUGUUUCUCGUGUCCACUGUGUUGAACUGACCCAGACUGAUUCUAUGGUAUUAAGUCCUGGUCAGGUUUUGACACUGUCCUGUAAACUCUCUGGAUAUACAGUGUCUGACAGCAGCUACUGCACUGGCUUCAUUCGGCAGCCUGCAGGAAAAGCUCUGGAAUGGGUUGGGCUGAUAUGUAGUGAUGGUAGCACAUAUUACAGUGAUAAACUGAAAAGUAGAUUUCAAGUCACCAGAGAUUCUUCCAUCAACACAGUGACUCUUCAAGGACAGAAUAUGCAGACUGAGGACACAUCUGUGUAUUACUGCGCCAGAUGGUCACAGUGACACAGAGCAGCUACUGUCUUGUUCAAAAACCACUCUAACACUCGGCACACAAAUAAACAGCUUCAUGCUA
Molecule: non-coding RNA, 480 nt
Organism: Carassius gibelio (silver crucian carp)
Lineage: Eukaryota; Metazoa; Chordata; Actinopteri; Cypriniformes; Cyprinidae
Source: the annotation of a RefSeq genome assembly